Long non-coding RNA from Nerophis ophidion (straightnose pipefish), 663 nucleotides. RefSeq lists it as uncharacterized. The transcript is spliced from 4 exons. The record is from RefSeq and is a predicted model, not a curated record. Lineage: Eukaryota; Metazoa; Chordata; Actinopteri; Syngnathiformes; Syngnathidae.
GGUUCCCGACCCCUGUUGUAUGGGAUGAACCUUUGUAUUUACUUGAAACAUCUUCAAAUACUGUGCACAUGUGUACAAUUUUGAUGUUUGAUUGUGGCAGUCAUUACAGACGUGUAGAGAACGAAGUUGUGCCCUUGUGUCUGUGUAACUAAAACGUCUCCCUUCUCAGGGCGAUUACAAGAGCACCAUGAGACGGGGGCGUGGCAGUGCUGACGGCGAGACACAGCUGGCAGUGAGAGCACCGCGGGCCUCUCCGCUGGGGGCGUGCCUCCGCACGGCUUCAGGUGAUCUGCAAUCAGCGAACCUGCCUUUGAUGAGCCAGCUGCCUUCAUAAGCCUGCACAACCUGCCAUCCCUCGCCUGAAUGUAAUCAUCUGUUGGCGUACAACCUACGUUCCCGUGUUGACAUUGCUGUGUGUCUCGUCAUUCCUCGUCGUUCCCCCGCUUCCCGGACUGCCUCUUUGAUCUCUACCUCCCACUUGGACACGGACCUCUUGACGCCUCUCUCUCAGCCCCACGGACCUCCCGCUUGUCUCUCAGACCUCCCUCUGUCUUGUCCCCGCUCUCGAUUUAACACUACGAGACGUGGUCUAUUCUGCAGAGGUCAAUGUGAUGGACAAAAUCAAUCUUCUCCCAGCGGGGCAUUGAUGGUCUGCAAAAACUG